UACGUAGGGGGCCAGCGUUGUCCGGAUUCAUUGGGCGUAAAGCGCGUGUAGGCGGCCAGGUAGGUCCGAUGUGAAAUCUGGAGGCUCAACCUCCAUCGGUCAUUGGAAACCAUCUGGCUAGAGUCCGGAAGAGGAGAGUGGAAUUCCUGGUGUAGCGGUGAAAUGCGUAGAUAUCUGGAGGAACACCGGUGGCGAAGGCGGCAUCCUGGACCAACACUGACACUGAGGAGCGAAAGCCAGGGGAGCAAACGGG
RNAcentral lists this ribosomal RNA (253 nucleotides) under uncultured bacterium. Its description in RNAcentral is "partial 16S ribosomal RNA". It matches the Rfam family "Bacterial small subunit ribosomal RNA", at positions 524 to 776 of the family's 1533-position model. The record is from RNAcentral.